UACGUAGGUGGCGAGCGUUGUCCGGAUUUACUGGGCGUAAAGAGCGCGCAGGCGGUCGUCCAAGUCGCGUGUGAAAGCCCCCGGCUCAACUGGGGAGGGUCACGCGAUACUGUUCGACUCGAAGGCAGGAGAGGGUAGUGGAAUUCCCGGUGUAGUGGUGAAAUGCGUAGAUAUCGGGAGGAAGACCAGUGGCGAAGGCAGAUCUCUGGGCCGUAACUGACGCUGAGGAGCGAAAGCAUGGGGAGCGAACAGG
RNAcentral lists this ribosomal RNA (253 nucleotides) under uncultured bacterium. RNAcentral's name for it is "partial 16S ribosomal RNA". It matches the Rfam family "Bacterial small subunit ribosomal RNA", at positions 524 to 776 of the family's 1533-position model. The record is from RNAcentral.